GGCCUUUUGAUUAUAAUUUAAGGUCGGACCUGCCCAAUGAGGAGUUAAAUGGCCGCAGUAUUCUGACUGUGCAAAGGUAGCAUAAUCAAUAGUUUUUUAAUUGAAAGCUGGAAUGAAAGGUUUGAUGAGAAAAUCACUGUCUCUAUUAAAAUUUAUUAGAAUUUUAUUUUUAAGUAAAAAAGCUUAAAUAAGUAUAAAAGACGAGAAGACCCUAUAGAAUUUUAUAAUUAGAAAAAUGGGAUGGCAUAUAGAAUCAUAAAAUUUUAUUUUGAUAAUUAUUUAGUUGGGGUGAUUAAAAAAUUUAAUAAACUUUUUUUUUAUAAAUAUACUGAUAAGUAAAUAAUUGAGCCUUGUAAAAGAUUAAAAGAUUAAAUUACCUUAGGGAUAACAGCGUAAUUUUUUUUAGAGUUCUUAUCGAAAAAGAAGAUUGCGACCUCGAUGUUGGAUUAAAAUUUAUUAUUGGUGUAGGAGCUAAUAUAUUUGGUCUGUUCGACCAUUAAAAUUUUACAUGAUCUGAGUUUAAACCGGCGUGAG
This 534-nucleotide ribosomal RNA is filed under the name Acalles sp. n. 5 AS-2014. RNAcentral describes it as "partial 16S ribosomal RNA". It matches the Rfam family "Bacterial large subunit ribosomal RNA", at positions 1819 to 2625 of the family's 2925-position model. Lineage: Eukaryota; Metazoa; Arthropoda; Insecta; Coleoptera; Curculionidae. The record is from RNAcentral.